Molecule: ribosomal RNA, 466 nt
Filed under: uncultured bacterium
Lineage: Bacteria
Description: partial 16S ribosomal RNA
Rfam family: Bacterial small subunit ribosomal RNA
Source: RNAcentral
GAUGAACGCUGGCGGCGUGCUUAACACAUGCAAGUCGAACGGAAAGGCCAGUGCUUGCACUGGUGCUCGAGUGGCGAACGGGUGAGUAACACGUGGGUGAUCUGCCCUGCACUUUGGGAUAAGCCUGGGAAACUGGGUCUAAUACCAGAUAGGACCAUGCUUUGGAUGGUGUGGUGGAAAGUUUUUUCGGUGUGGGAUGAGCUUGCGGCCUAUCAGCUUGUUGGUGGGGUAAUGGCCUACCAAGGCGUCGACGGGUAGCCGGCCUGAGAGGGUGUACGGCCACAUUGGGACUGAGAUACGGCCCAGACUCCACGGGAGGCAGCAGUGGGGAAUAUUGCACAAUGGGCGCAAGCCUGAUGCAGCGACGCCGCGUGGGGGAUGACGGCCUUCGGGUUGUAAACUCCUUUCGCAACUGACGAAGCUUUUUGUGGCGGUAGGUUGAGAAGAAGCACCGGCUAACUACGUG